GAGUAUGGGUAGGAAAAUUUUCUCUUAAAUAUGAAUUGCAUUGACAUUCUUAAGUAUGUUCAAAUAAACUAUCAAAUUCUAUUUUGUUAUACGAUUGUGUUUGUUCUGGGAACUGUUAUUUUGUAUGACAUGUCUAUUAUUUUACACUAAUUUUCUUGUGUUUAGAAUUACACUGAGCUCUUUAAGCUCACCCCUCGUAUUUCAAUCUAUACAGACAACCCGCAAGGUUAGAACAUAGACUUGACAUUUGAUGGUCUUCGCUAGGAUUAUUGCCCUUAAAAGUUUUUUAAACAUAAUAUUAUAAUUUAUGUUAUUUUGGGAACUGUGUCAUUUUAUUGGAAUUGUGGAAUGGGAUUUAAAUUUUGAGUUAAUUUCGGCAAGCAUGACAUUUAAGUUGUUUAGACUUGUGAAACUUUGGAAUUGAAUUGUAGAGGCCCAAUUUAGCCCGGGCCCAUAAACUAGAAACCUAAUAACAAAAAUAUAUAUAUAAAGUCCACAAGUCCAUUUUACAUAGCCCAAAAUCCAAACCCAUUUACAAUAACCCAAUUCUAAACCCAACUACCUUAGCCAAAAAAUUCAAAGCCCAAAUGGCCCAAAAUGUUUUAGAAACAGAAACUAGGGUUUCCCUUGCACCGCAGUUGUUCUCCCAACCCUCGUACAACCUCCAGUGCGCCUCCAUACGACCUUCACGCACCACCCCACCACCUUGCCUCUGUAUCUGCAAAAUAAGACAAGCAAAGGACGGACACAGCAGCAAGAGCAAAAACCAAGCAAAAACUUUGUAAUUUUUCUUUUUUGUGGUGGCUAUAAAAAGCCAAGAAAUAUCAAUGUAAAGCUCUCUUUUUUUUUACGCAUACAAGGAAAUCAAUACAAAAAAAAGGGGAAUCAAGGUGGUCUUUUGGUUCUGUUUUCCAUUUCCUUUGCAAGUUUAUUUUCGAAUAUAGCACAUACAUGUAUAGAUAUUCAAAGAAAACAUAAAAAAAGGUUACCUUUUUGAGAUUGGGGAAGGGAACUGAGGGGUUGUUUGUUUGAUUUUACUUUUAAAAGGCUUUCUCUAGAACUUUGGGGUUUUAAAUCGGGGGGAGGGAGAUUGAAAAAAGGAAUCAAAAUUGAAAAGGUGAUUUUGGAAUAAAAUACUUUUAAUUUCUUCUUUUUUCUUUCGAUUCCAUUAGUUUUUCGCAUUUAAAAACAAAGAGAAAACAAUAGAUUUACCUUGCGGAUGUGCUAAGAGAUUCCGUCUUCUUUGUUGAAACUGAAGCGUAGAAGGAAUCUCGUGGUCGAGAUUGUCGUCCCCCGAAGCCCGAAUCUAUUCGUCACCAUUGAUAGAGGCAGAUCGGUGCUUAAGAGAGGGGUGUUAGGAUCGAUUGAGGGAAAAUCAAGAGAGGUUCGGGUUUUGAUUUUCUUAGUCGGCCAAAUGAAGAUAGAUAUGGUGAAGGAUUUCCUUCAUUUGUUGUGGAAAGUGGCAGAGUGCCAUUCAAACGUUUUUUAGGGUUUAAUUAAGCGUGCUUAAUUGUUUUGGGGUGAAUUGCGCAUUUAGUCCCUCCUUGUUUUGCUGUCAUCUGAUUGAGUCCCAUUUAUGUUUUUUUUUGCUUUUUAAUUCUUUCCUAAAACUUAUGCACUUUUUUAAUUUGAUCCAUGUUUACAUUAUGCGUUCAGAAACCUGGAAUAAUUGCGUUUUUUGUCCUUGCACGUUCACGCGCAUUGCCCUUUGGUCCUUAUUUCUAUCUUAAUAGUUUAUUUUAUUUAUUAAUUAUACCUUUUAAUUUGAUUUUAUUUCAAUUAAGUUUUUAUUUCAAUUUAUAUAAUUCAUUAUUUUUAUUCAUUGAGCAUUUAUCUUUUAAAUUUUAUUUAUAUACCUUUGGAGUUACUUGGAUAAGUUUACUUCGUUUUUUUUAAUUAUAAAAUUAUUAUUUUAAAAUUCUCUUUUGUAUCAUAUUAUUUUAAAUUUUGGUAUAAUCUUUAAUUUAAAUUACCUUUAUAUUAAUAUAUAUAUAAUUUAUAUUAAAAUUAGCUUUAUUUUAUAAACAUUAUUAAUUCUAUGUUAUUAUAUAUAUAUAAUUUCUUUUAAAUUUGUUUAUUUGUAUUUCCUUUUAAAUUUAUUGUUAUUCUUUAAAAAAUAUAUUUUAUUAUUUCUUUGUUAUUUAAGAUCCUUACAUGUAUAUAUUGUUUUACUAUAUAUUGGUUCGUUAUUUCUUCAUGUAUAUUUUUCUUUAUUUUAUUAUAUCUUCAUUAUAUAUUGUUCACAUUGAUUUUUUUAUUGCAUGUAUAUUAUCACCUUUAAAUAGAUAUGUUUUGUUUUUAAAAUAUCUUUGUAUGUUAUUUGCUCUAAAUUUCUUCUUUCACAAUAUUUAUUUUAUUCAUUUACAUAUUCUUAGUUUUAUUUUCAUAUAUGCAAAUCUUUUCAAACCCUAACAUGCGUUAUUCAUUUAUAAAUUUUUCAUAUAGUUUUUGAAUUGUUUUGUAUUAUAUUGGCUCUUAGUAUCCAUAUUGCUUUGUAUAUUAUGUGUUGCAUUUUAUCUUUCAUAUUAUUUUAUAUAUUAUUAUCUUAUAUUAUUUAUUCUUUUUUUUAUUAUAUCAAUUGUUAUUCAUCCAUGCUUAGGAGUUUGGUUAUAUUUUUUGAGGAUUAAUUAUUAUUAGAUUAAUUGGUUUCUUUAGGUUAUAUUAUCUUUAUUCACCAAGUUUUGUACUUUAGUUAUACAUGUUAUCCCAUGUUCAUUAUUUCUCUUUUUUAUUUUGAAUCAAAUAAAUGUGUUUUGAGCUAGUUUACAAUUUUUCUAAACUAAGGCAAUGUUCAAUAUUUGGAAAUUUAAAGAAUCGUGCCCUACCGUGUUGGGCUUCGAUUCUUCGUUGGACUAAAUAAUUGGACAUCUUUUUGUAAUUUUCAACGUAUAGGCUUUCGGGGGUCAAAAAUCAAUCGUAUUUUAAAAGGUAUGAAGAAUCUUAUCCAAUCGUGCUGGAUAUGAUGCUAUAUAGCUUUGAAACAAGAGAAUUUUGAUGACCAACUUGAGCGAUUCAAAUGUUUCAAAAUGAACCAUAUUUCAAAAAUCACUUUAAAACUUAGACAUAAGGACAGUACUUAAUCGAUUUGGUACCAAUUUUGGGCAUAGUGAGGGUGCUAAUCCUUCCUCAUGCGUAAUUGGCUCCCGAACCUAUUUGCUCAAAUUUACCUAGGCCAAAAUUGAUUUAAAUGAAAUAAAAUAUUUUAUUAGGCGAUCUAAUCUCUCCUAAACAAAAAGGAUUGGUGGCGACUCCACGCUUUGUUUUAAAAGUCGAUCCCCAUUUUCGUUUUCUCAAAAUCAAAAACAUGGUUUCGAUAGCUUGGCGACUCCACUGGGGAGUUUGAGAGUCUAGCCAUAAAUUGAUUGAUUUUUGUCCUUUUUCGAAAAUUGAAAACUUGUUUUAAACUUAUGAUCCCUUCAUUACAUUUCCUCCGUUUUUGUUACGGUUUUCAUAAUUUUAUUCAUAUUUUUUUUAUUGCUUCGGGUUUUUUUUACGCAUAUAUCAUUACACAUUACAUUGCAUGACCGUUGUGGUCACACCUUUAAGUGGGAGUGAGAAGCUAUGCCUUCGUGAGGUUUUCACCUCCGCAUGGGCUAGUGGGUUGCUUCUAGGAUACAUCCGUACUUAUGAUUUCGUAAGAUUUUCAUCUCCGCAUGGUCAUAGGGAAAUGUGUUCCCCUUUCUCUGUACUAACGUGUUUUGUUGAUGACUGCAUUGCAUUACAUCUUCAUAGAAAGGAGGUGUUAACUCAUAUUUGAUUGCUAAAUAGAACAGUUUGUCAUAAGAAAAUGAAUUCCUUGAUAAAGUGGAUUAUAAUACGGUUGUCUAAAUAUGGUCCAAGUAAACAAAUGGAAAAAGGCCAAUGAUUCGUAGAGGAAAACAAGUCUUUACCUAAAGACUCAGGCUGAUAAAGAUUGUUCGAGAGCCGUUGCGUCCCGAUUUCUUGAAAAAGCUAAUCAACAUCGCAAGGAUAAUAAAUCACGGUCUUGAUCAAGCAGAAAGGAAUUAGUGAAGACAUUUAUUGAAAGCUUGAGAGAUUUGACUUCUAUGAAGAAAAGAGACCGGUGUCUUCGUCUGGAAUAUGAAAGCAAGGCCGCAUAUGUAAUCCGUUUUAUGUAAAGAAAUUUGUUUUCUAAAAAAGUUGUUCUAAUGGAAUUGAAUUCAGAGUCAACGCCUCUCUUUCUUUUGCAUUCAUUCCAUGCAUUUGCAUUGCAUCGCAUUAGAUUUUCCCAAAAGAACCUUAAUUAGGUAAAAUUAUUUUAGAACCGACAAAGGAUAUGGACCAAAGGUUGGAAAGAAUAGAGCAAAGGCAAAUACAGAUGCAACAGCAAUUGAUCAAAAUUCAACAAGAUAUACGGGAACAAAUGCUAGAAUUCUAGAGAAAUAUGAUGGGCCAGUUAACCCAGUUACUAGCCGGAGGACUUGAAAAAAGGAGUGGCCUAGUGGUCAACAGUGGGGAUGAUAACGAAGACCUUAUCUAUUCCCUAGGUUUUACCCCAAUAAGCGUCCUGACCCAACCAGACGCGUAUCCGCAAUGGAUACCAGUCAUUAUCAGACCUCAAUAUUAGACUAAUACAUCGACACUAUUAAACUUCUCGAUGGGUUCAGGUUUUAACCCGAAGGAUGAUCGAACCAAACCAGUUGUUCUGGCAGAAACGAAAGAAGGAGGAGAGUAGACUUUAAAGGCCUCGAAGAAGAAGGAAAAGGAAGCGAAUAGUACGAGUAGGUAUAACAAAGGCCAUUUGGAGUCGGUUGCAGUAAGCCAGCCAAGGACGGUAACUACAAGCCAUUAGGUCUCCCCAAAACAAGAACCCAAUUCAAGACCAAACUCAGAAAAACCUCAGUUCACACCUAUCCCAAUCACGUAUAAGGAGUUGUACCAAAUUUUGUUUGACGUACAUGUUAUAUCCCCUUUUUACAUAGAGCCAAUACAGCCUCCAUACCCUAAAUGGUACGAUGCAAGCGGCCAAUGUGAAUACCAUGCGAGAAUCACGGGGCAUUCUAUCGAGAACUGUACCGCUUUUAAAAAGUUAAUAGAAAGACUUAUCAAAUCGGGUAUCGUGAAAUUUGUUGACCCCUCUGGUGCAGAAAAUCCGUUACCCAACCUUUCUGUUAAAGGGGUAAACGUUAGGAGUUCCAUGAUGGAUAGGGACAUGAGAUCCAAGAACGCAUCGAGCUCAGGGCCUUAGUGUAAGGUCUGAUGGUUAGUAAAUUGAAGAAAUUAAGACCCGGUGGGAAGGUUGGGAAAUCUAAACACUAACGACAUAUUCGAAGAAGGAACCGGGAGUAAACUUUUCCAAGCUUCUGCCUUUACGUACUUGGGGUAUUUUGAACAAUGGGACUGUGGAAGAGAUCCUUGUAUUUUUAGAGCUAAUUGAAAGUAAUGUUCAGAACACGCCUAUUGCUCUAAGCCUAGGAGUAAUAGGAGGCCUUUUGUGAAAUAGGCUUGUGUCCAAAGUUUUUAUUUCAAUAAAAUGCAUCUUUGCUAUUAUUUCGAGUAAAUAUUCUUUUACUCUAUACAGACAAUUAUUUUUAGAUUCUUUCGUUCUUUCGGAUUUUAUCUCAAAUAUUCUUUUAUUCUUCAUUCAUGAUCAUACCAUACAAAUAAUCAUCCUUGAAAUCAUUUAUUCUCUGGAAACUGUCUUCGUACCUACAACAGGUCUCCAGAUAUCAAUGACGAGAGCGACGCUAUCACUGACUUCAAAUCUCUUUUUGAGCAAAAUAUGUGUCUAGAGGGAUUUCAGGACCUUGAUGAUGAUAAAGAUUGUAGCCUAUCUCUUGAUUUGUCAAGGAUGGUAGAAUAAGAUGAGAAAUAGAUCCCACAUUACAAAAGGGCAAUGGACAUCGCGAACCUAAGAGACGAGAAAGAGGUAAAGAUUGGAGUGUAUACCACCACAGAGAUGAAGCAAAAUGUCAAGAAUACAAAGAUAUUUUUGCAUGAUCGUAUCAAGAUAUACCUGGGCUACUAAGGCUUGUGGAUGCAAAAAAAGGUCUAUACGAGUGUCAGAAGAACAUAUGCUAAUGGUUUUAUGUUUGCCAAGCUAAUUAUGAGGUUCGGGUGCUGCUGAUCCACCAUAGAAGGGGAUCGUAUCAGUCAAGCCAUGAAUACCAAAUGGAGAAAAAAAGACUUUUAUGCCUCCUCAAUUUCUUCAUAGAUUUACUAUAUGUGAGGCAUGGAUAUUAUGGGGUUGAUCUCGUCAAAAGCUUCUAACUGAUACUGAUUCAUCUUUGGAGUCAUUGAUUACUUCGCGAAAAGGGUGAAAGUCAUUUCAUAUGCCAAUGUUACUAAGUCGACAGUCAUCAAAUUUCCAAAAGAAGAAGAAGAAGAAGAAAGAAAAGAAAAGAAAAGAGGUGCCAACAAAGAAUGCCAGAAAGGAUCAUGUCUAACACAACUGCGCAAUGUCAAAAGUUUGCAGUCUGUUCAAAGACUAGGCGCCAUAUUGUCGUGCAGCAAAGGCAGCAAAAAAAAGAAGAUCAUGGGGAAGAUGAUCGAGACUUGUAAAGAUUGGCAUAAGAAAUCACCAUAUACCCUCUCCGUUUAUUGAACGUCGGCCAUGACCUUCGUCGAGGCAACACAUUUCUCAUUAUGGAAUGAAAGUGGUUUGCCCAUUAAAAUCAAGAUUCCUUCUCCCUAAAUUUCGAUUGAGUCGAUAAUUGGAUGAAGCAGAAUGGAUCCAAUGAAUUUAAUUGAAAAUUACCCGUCAUGGUUAAACGUACCAAAAACAAAUAAUGCGAGCUUACGAUAAAGAGGUUUAUCCUAGAGAAUUCCACGAGGGGAACUUGAUAUUGAAGAAGAUUCUCCCUAUACAAAAGGAUUUUAGAGGAAAAUGGAUGACAAACUAGGAAGGACCUUAUGUAGUAAAGAGGGCCUGUUUUGGAGGGGCAUUGAUAUUGACUGAAAUGGGUGACAAAGAUUUGCCCAAAUCAGUGAAUUCAAAUCCAGUCAAGGAGUAUUCUACCUAAAAGGAAAGAGGCCAAGAUGAAAACUUGCAAAGGACGCCUUGAGACCAAAAAAUAAAAGGGAGAAAAAGGGAGAAAGAGAGAGGAAAAAGAAAAAGGGAGAGGCCAAGGCGAAAACCCACAAAGGGCGCUUUCAGCCAAAGGGGAUUUGAGUUGAAAACCAGAAAAAGGCGGCUCAAAUAUGGAUCAAAAUGAGGCAUGCAGCAGUUUUACUAUGCCUGAAUUAACAAAGAAGAAAUAUGCUACGUCUUGGGGCAUUGAAAAAGUACUCUGGAUCCCUUAAACACAUAUUGCGCUCAGAAGGGUCCUCAAGAAGUUGGUACAGAGAAGCUCAAGCUACGAUAUCUGGAGCACCUAGUUUUCCGUUUUACCCAUUUUUGAAUUUUCUAUAUUUGAUUAAGUUAUUCAUUUUGAGUUAAUGUCUUCUUAUUGCAUUUUCAAUCUUGGAUUAAUUUAUUCAUUUCGAGAUAAGCUCCCAAUCAAUUUCCUUCUUGUUCAUUGUUAUGAUCUUUUUCAAGCAUUUUGCAUUGAAAUAACAAUUAAUGGACCAAUAAUACUUUCAUAAAAGAAGUUCUGCAUAUUACUCUAGAAGCUUCUAAAUAGUAUAGGAACCUAAAACAGAACCAUUAUUUAGAACUCACCAAGCCUAAGGGUUGGAAAUAUUUGAGAGAUAGAAGUCUAAAUUGUGGCUAUCUCUCUAAAUUCUUUGUUAAAGAUAUCAGUUGCACAAGAAACAAGACAUUUCAUCGAUGAUACAACCUCAACAAAUAACGAGCAAUGUCAACGCAAAUGUAAAAGGGGGUCAUUCUCGAGAAGAGAAAAAAUGGUAUUAUGUAUUCACGCAGAUCUCCAGCAUACACAUCUGGUCAUAAUACCAGGGAAUGGUGUAACAGAUCAAAUUGAUUAAAGAUGACACAAAUCCUAUACCUCUGAGUUACAGUAGGAUGGAUAGAAGAAACCAAAUAUUAUUCUCCUGAAGUUGUAGUGGGAGGUACAAACUUUAUGCCCCAGAAGGUACGGUGGAAGGGACUCUGAAAUUACUGCGAGGCAAGCUUGCUGAAUAGAAUGUGAUUAUUUUUUGACUUUUCUGUCAAAAUUACCAGCCGAACAAGAUGACAGCAUAAUACUUCAAUGAUAAUGUCUUGAUGAACAACUUGCAAUGAUACUUUAAGCCUUUUUUUUAAAAAAAAAGAGAUCAUUUUCAUUCCUGCAUUCAUAUAUCAUUCAUAAUACAUCUAGUUAGGAGCAUUUGUUUUAUUUCAAUCAUAGCAUCCUAAUUAUUUGGCAUAAGCAUUACAUCUAGUUAGGAGCAUUUGAUUCACUUCGAUCAUAGCAUCCUAAUUAUUUGGCAUAAGCAUAGAUACAUGAAACUGAUUCUACAGAUCAUGUCCCUAGAGGAUGGUGUAGCAACAUCGGUGAAUUUGCAGAUCUUGUCUCCCUAAAGUUGCAGUGGAACAGAUCGAAGACGGCGAAUCUUGUCUCUCUGAAGUUGCAGUGGAGUAGAUUUAAGUCACCAUCCUAUCUCCCUAAGCAGUAGUGGAGUAGGCUAAAGAUUGCAGAUCUUGUCUCCCUGAAGUUGCAGUGAAACAGAUCGAAGACGGCAGAUCUUAUUUCUCUAAAGUUGCAGUGGAGUAGAUUUAAGCCACCAUCGUAUCCCCCUAAGUAGUAGUGGAGUAGGCUGAAGAUUGCAGAUCUUGUCUCCCUAAAGUUGCAGUGGAACAGAUCGAAGACAGCGAAUCUUGUCUCUUUGAAGUUGCAGUGGAACAGAUUUAAGCCACCGUCCUAUCUUCCUAAGCAGUAGUGGAGUAGGUUGAAGAUUGUAGAUCUUGUCUCCCUGAAUUUACAGUGGAACAGUUCAAAAACGGUGAAUCUUGUCUCUCUGAAGUUGCAGUGGAGCAGAUUUAAGCCACCGUCCUAUCUCCCUAAGCAGUAGUGGAGUAGGCUGAAGAUUGCAAAUCUUGUCUCCCUGAAGUUGCAGUGGAACAGAUCGAAGACGGCGAAUCUUGUCUCCCUAACCAGUAGCGGAAUAGAUUUAAGCCACCAUCCUAUCUCCCUAAGCAGUAGUGGAGUAGGUUGAAGAUUACAGAUCUUGUCUCCCUAAAGUUGCAGUGGAACAGAUCGAAGACGGUGAAUCUUGUCUCCCUAAAUAGUAGUUGAGCAAAUUUAAGCCACCAUCCUAUCUGCCUAACCAGUAGUGGAGUAGGUUGAAGAUUAUAGAUCUUAUCUCUCUGAAGUUGCAGUAGAGCAGAUCAAAACAAACCUUAUCUCAUUGAAAUUGCAGUGGAGCAGGUUGAAAUUACGAAUCUUAUCUCCCUAAAGUUGUAGUGGAGUAGGUUGAAGCCACAAACCUUAUCCCCCUGAAGUUACAGUGGGGCAAGUUGAAGUUACAAGUCUUACCUCCCUGAAAUUACAGUGGAGUAGACUAAAGAUAGCAGAUCUUACCUUCUUGAAGUUGCAAUGGAGCAGAUCAAGCUAUAAUUGCAGAAGAACAUAUUAAAGCCACAAACCUCAACUCCCUGAAGUUGUAGUGAAAUAGGUUAAAGCUAUAAGUAGUCAUAGUGGAGUAGAUUAAAGCAACAGCUCUUAUACCUCUGAAGAUGCAGUGGGGCUACUUGAAGAAGAGAAGCACCGAAGAAGUCAAGAUUAUGCAAGACCAGGCAAAAUUAGCCCUUUUUAAAGUCUUUGCUUUAUUCUCGUUACACGACAAUGAGUAAAGAGGGAUAGCUGUAGAGGCCUAGCCCUUUUUAAAGUCUUUACUUUAUUCUCGUUACACAAAUCCUAUACUUAAUAACAAAAAAAAAAUAUAAAGUCCACAAGUCCAUUUUACACAGCCCAAAAUCCAAACCCAUUUACAAUAACCCAAUUCUAAACCCAACUACCCUAGCCAAAAAAUUCAAAGCCCAAAUGGCCCAAAAAUUUUAGGAACAGAAACUAGGGUUUCCCUAGCACCGCAGCUGGCCUCCCAACCCUCGUACAGCCUCCAGCUCGCCUCCGUACAGCCUUUACGUACCACCUUCACCACGUUGCCUCCGUACGUGUAAAAUAAGACAAGCAAAGGACGGACACAGUAACAAGAGAAAAAACCAAGUAGAAACUUUGUAAUUUUUCUUUUUUGUGGUGGCUAUAAAAAGCCAAGAAAUAUCAAUGUAAAUCUCUCUCUUUUUUUUACGCAUACAAGGAAAUCAGUACAAAAAAGGGGAAUCAAGGUGGUCUUUUGGUUCUGUUUUCCAUUUCCUUUGCAAGUUUAUUUUUGAAUAUAGCACAUACAUGUAUAGAUAUUCAAAGAAAACAUAAAAAAGGUUACCUUUUUGAGAUUGGGGAAGGGAACCGAUGGGUUGUUUGUUU
RNAcentral lists this long non-coding RNA (10304 nucleotides) under Gossypium barbadense (sea-island cotton). RNAcentral describes it as "long non-coding RNA (GBAR_LNC000253)". Lineage: Eukaryota; Viridiplantae; Streptophyta; Magnoliopsida; Malvales; Malvaceae. The record is from RNAcentral.